AUGGAAAUAUUGCCAUUCUUCCAAAGAAUAACAAUACCUCCUAAGUGUUCCGAAGCACUAGACUAGAUAAAGAAAGGAAAACCCAAAUCAUUAGCUAAUCCUAAGUGAUCCAUCAUUCUAGUUUCAAGAAGGGCUAAAAUGAAGGGCUGAUGGAUAUUUACCAUAGACUUACAAUGCCUACGAAAUUCAAUAUUAUUAGCACCCCUGGUGUUCCAUAGUAUGCAGUUCUACAUUACUAGUUUUAUGGCUGGGGAGGUCACCACUGCUAUUUCUUUCUUUUUUCUCGAAUAGUUGGAUUGACCCAGAGGGGAGAGAAGCUUUCUCUUCCUGGAAAGUAGCGUAAUUCUCACUUUGAAGGGAUAUCCUAGAAUAGGGUUUGGAAGGCUUAUUCCUAGUUCUAACUUGUCUAAGUCCUGAGGUAGUAGUGAUAUAACCAUCUUGUUGAGAAACUCUAGACUUACAAGACUUUCCAGCGUGAGAACAUCCGUUUAGGGUAUCCUCAAC
This 504-nucleotide long non-coding RNA is filed under the name Capsicum annuum. RNAcentral's name for it is "long non-coding RNA (CANN_LNC004183)". Lineage: Eukaryota; Viridiplantae; Streptophyta; Magnoliopsida; Solanales; Solanaceae. The record is from RNAcentral.